GGUUGUGGCUCAGCGGCAGAGCACUUGCCUAGCAUGUGUGAGGCACUGGGUUCGAUUCCCAGCACCA
This 67-nucleotide transfer RNA is filed under the name Marmota monax (woodchuck). Its description in RNAcentral is "tRNA.Ala". It matches the Rfam family "tRNA". From Rfam's summary of the family: Transfer RNA (tRNA) molecules are approximately 80 nucleotides in length. Their secondary structure includes four short double-helical elements and three loops (D, anti-codon, and T loops). The record is from RNAcentral. Lineage: Eukaryota; Metazoa; Chordata; Mammalia; Rodentia; Sciuridae.